GGAAGUAGCUUAAAGGUAAAGCUUGGUCGUACGUCCUAAAAAGUGAAUGGUAACUUUGAUAUAGGUUCGAAUCCUAUCUCCGUAACCA
This 88-nucleotide transfer RNA is filed under the name Caudoviricetes sp. RNAcentral describes it as "tRNA-Phe". The record is from RNAcentral. Lineage: Duplodnaviria; Heunggongvirae; Uroviricota; Caudoviricetes.